This 26-nucleotide transfer RNA is filed under the name Uta stansburiana. RNAcentral describes it as "partial tRNA-Thr". Lineage: Eukaryota; Metazoa; Chordata; Lepidosauria; Squamata; Phrynosomatidae. The record is from RNAcentral.
GCCUCCGUAGCUUAAAAAAAGCACUG